RNAcentral lists this ribosomal RNA (497 nucleotides) under uncultured bacterium. RNAcentral's name for it is "partial 16S ribosomal RNA". It matches the Rfam family "Bacterial small subunit ribosomal RNA", at positions 28 to 507 of the family's 1533-position model. The record is from RNAcentral.
GAUGAACGCUGGCGGCGUGCCUAAUACAUGCAAGUCGAGCGAACAGACGAGGAGCUUGCUCCUCUGACGUUAGCGGCGGACGGGUGAGUAACACGUGGAUAACCUACCUAUAAGACUGGGAUAACUUCGGGAAGCCGGAGCUAAUACCGGAUAAUAUAUUGAACCGCAUGGUUCAAUAGUGAAAGACGGUUUUGCUGUCACUUAUAGAUGGAUCCGCGCCGCAUUAGCUAGUUGGUAAGGUAACGGCUUACCAAGGCAACGAUGCGUAGCCGACCUGAGAGGGUGAUAGGCCACACUGGAACUGAGACACGGUCCAGACUCCUACGGGAGGCAGCAGUAGGGAAUCUUCCGCAAUGGGCGAAAGCCUGACGGAGCAACGUCGCGUGAGUGAUGAAGGUCUUCGGAUCGUAAAACUCUGUUAUUAGGGAAGAACAAAUGUGUAAGUAACUAUGCACGUCUUGACGGUACCUAAUCAGAAAGCCACGGCUAACUACGUG